RNAcentral lists this ribosomal RNA (441 nucleotides) under uncultured bacterium. RNAcentral's name for it is "bacterial SSU rRNA". It matches the Rfam family "Bacterial small subunit ribosomal RNA", at positions 338 to 795 of the family's 1533-position model. The record is from RNAcentral.
CCUANGGGUGGCAGCAGUAGGGAAUAUUAGACAAUGGGCGAAAGCCUGAUCUAGCAACGCCGCGUGCACGAUGAAGGCCUUCGGGUCGUAAAGUGCUUUUUGAGGAGAUGAGGAAGGACAGUAUCCUCAGAAUAAGGAUCGGCUAACUACGUGCCAGCAGCCGCGGUAACACGUAGGAUCCGAGCGUUAUCCGAAUUUACUGGGCGUAAAGCGCUUGCAGGCGGUUUGGUAAGUUGGAUGUGAAAGCUCCCGGCUCAACUGGGAGAGGUCGUUCAAAACUACCAGACUGGAGGGUGGUAGAGGGAGGUGGAAUUCCCGGUGUAGUAGUGAAAUCCGUAGAUAUUAGGAGGAACACCGGUGGCGAAGGCGGCUGCCUGGACCGAUAUUGACGCUGAGACGCGAAAGCGUGGGUAGCAAACAGGAUUAGAUACCCCANUANUC